CCCUUAGAUGUUCUGGGCCGCACGCGUGCUACACUGAACGGUUCAAUGGGUAAGGUAGUGCGAAAGCAUGACCUAAUCUCGAAAUCCGUUCGUGCUGGGGAUAGAAGCUUGCAAUUAUCCUUCUUGAACGAGGAAUACCUUGUAAGCGUGAGUCAUCAUCUCACGCUGAAUACGUCCCUGCCCUUUGUACACACCGCCCGUCGCUCCUACCGAUUGAGUGUUCCGGUGAGGCUUUGGGAGAAUGGCCUCAACAUGAGUUUAUCGUGUUUUGCCGUUUGAACUUAGUCAAACCUUAUCCCUUAGAGGAAGGAGAAGUCGUAACA
Molecule: ribosomal RNA, 323 nt
Filed under: uncultured eukaryote
Lineage: Eukaryota
Description: partial 18S ribosomal RNA
Rfam family: Eukaryotic small subunit ribosomal RNA
Source: RNAcentral